Molecule: ribosomal RNA, 253 nt
Filed under: uncultured bacterium
Lineage: Bacteria
Description: partial 16S ribosomal RNA
Rfam family: Bacterial small subunit ribosomal RNA
Source: RNAcentral
UACGUAGGCAGCAAGCGUUGUUCGGAGUUACUGGGCGUAAAGGGUGUGUAGGCGGUUCUUUAAGUUUUCUGUGAAAUCUCCCGGCUUAACCGGGAGGGUGCGGUGAAUACUGAGGGACUAGAGUACGGGAGAGGAAAGUGGAAUUCCUGGUGUAGCGGUGAAAUGCGUAGAUAUCAGGAGGAACACCGGUGGUGUAGACGGCUUUCUGGACCGACACUGACGCUGAGACACGAAAGCGUGGGUAGCAAACAGG